GUGCUUGCUUCAGCAGCACAUAUACUAAAAAAGAAAAAAAAAAAAUUAGCAUAGCCCCUGCUCAAGGAUGACACGCAAAUUCGUGAAGCAUUCUGUU
Molecule: small nuclear RNA, 97 nt
Filed under: Catagonus wagneri (Chacoan peccary)
Lineage: Eukaryota; Metazoa; Chordata; Mammalia; Artiodactyla; Tayassuidae
Source: RNAcentral